CCUCCCCGCCCGAGAAUAGCCUCCACGGGCUGCCACGCCGGCAAUGCUGGCAGGCCUGCUCGCCGUUGUGGACCUCCAAAGGCGCAGCACACGAGGAGGGGCAUCUCGCCGAGUUCCCUUGGCCGGCCAUGGUAUCGCGUGCUGCGUCGAUCUGGCCUCCGACGAUCUCGGGAGGGAGAGGGGGCGGCGGCGGUAUGGAGGUGAGACGGUGAACCCUCACCGGCAAGAGGCCACGGAGAAGGAGGCUACCGUGAUCGCGGCCUCCCCCAACCCCCUGCGUGUUCGGCCGCGUCGUCCUGCUCUAGACAAGAGGAAUCAGCGCGGGGGCCAUGCAGGCAUCGACGACGGCGCGCUGGGCAGGUCGCGGCCGAAGUCGGCCUUGGGGGGAAGCGAGAAUAUGUGUCGGUGGCAAAAGGGACCGCGAUGGUGCUGGUGGCGCCCCUUAUUCUCUCUCCCUGGCCGGGUGCUGCCCCCGGUGAAGGAGCUUGGGGCCCUCCUCUCCUCCAGAGGCGGCUGUGGGCGUGGAUGAGGACCUGGGCGCCCUCCUCUUCUCCCCGACAUGUAUUGGGGAAGAGCUGACGCGGCCAUCCUCGUGGAUAGUGUCGCUGGCGGAGCCGCCGGAUUGAGGUGGGGGCGCUGAAGGUUGCCGCUGCUCCCCCCCCUUCUCUCCUGGCCACCGUCACGCCUGGGUGCACGUCCGAGGUGUCGUCGGCCUCUAGGUCGUGCGCGCGGUAGGUUCGAGCGGGGCCGCCGCCGACGAGCCACGAGCGGUGGGCGUGGAGUUCUCGGUGGAGAGCACGACGGCGACGCGCCACAGCUAGGUGACGUUGAAUUCGCUGCGGCCAACCUCCCGGCAGCUCUUGCUCGCGGCAGUUCCGUCGCACAUCGCAAAGCUCCCUCCUGCCCCUGCUCGCUGCAGAGUUCCUCCGUGCCGCGCGCAGCUCUAGGUCCAUGCUGGACGCCGAGUCCCGCCGCGUCUCCUCUUCGGCUCAACGCCGUCCCUAUUUGCGCCAGAGUCCUGCCAUGCUGCCCGCCCCUGUUCGAUGCUCAAGAUGCCGUGCCCGCGCUCGCCUGGUGAUGCGCGUCCGAGGCGUGGCCGGCCUCCGACCGUCAGGUAUGCCUUCAGAUCCCGUACAGGGAAAUUCCUCUAAUCCUGGCUGUGUCGGCUGAUUCUGCUGCCGAGUCAGCCUCUACGUAUCUUGGCCUGUAGGCCUUUAGAAUUCAUGUGGCAAUCAGAAUACCACUCCUUUUGUAAAUGAAGAUUUUUUUUCACAUUUUUCAGAAAUUUUACAUGUGAUUGAUACACCUGCGUCUGGGUCUGCCAAAGCAAAACUGAACAACAUAAUUUUGUGGCUUUAUUAUUAAACCAUAUCAUAAUUUUGAAAGCUAGAUUGUCAGUUAGUAUUCUGAACCAAGCUAGCCCAACCAACUAAGAGGUAUAGAAACAUUUUAUUUGGUGCUAAAGUUAUGAUCUGACUCCACAAUCUUCAUGCUUACCAUACAUUUUAAUUAGCUCUCUAAAGUAGCUCAUGCCUCAGUAGGCCUACAUUUUAUAUGUUGGAUCCAUAUGGUGCCAGUUAGUCAAUCAGUUAAGUCGUUCGUUUAGGCUAACUGUCGGCUCAAUUUAACAAUUAUCUUAGCUGACUAAUUAUGCUGACUAAUUGAGUGAUUACUUAGAAUUUGGCCUAGAGAUGCAGUGUUCUGUUGAGAGUAUGAGUAGUAGUAAUUAUUGCGCAUAUUUGUGCAUUUGCGCCCUCUACAAUCUCACUUAUAGACUGCAACAGGUUGUGUUCCGAGCAAGCUCAUGGUUGUUUGCACUUGAGAAAAGAUUGUACCGUUGUGUUCAAUUUAAGGGACACUGCAUUUCUAAAUCAACAUUGUCAUAUGUUCCAUGACAGUAAACUAAGCUCCAGUGGCAUGUUCAUACCUAAGCCAAGAAGCUGGCACGACACGGAUUAUACACUGCCAGAUCGCCAGCCCAACUAGACUAAUUUGUACGAGUUCUUUGAGACCUAGACUGUUCUAUUAUGUGAAUUAUGAUUAUGUAUAGCUUCAUAUUCUUGGUUUUCCUUAUUGAGAGUGGCAUGCAGAGAAACAGAAAUUGCAUAUUGGUUCAUGCACUGGGCAGGCUUGCUGCUCCUGGACGACGGCACGGUAGGCUCUUGAUCAAUGGUGAAGUCAGGAACACCUGAUGUUGAAUGGCAGGCAUUAGUGCACUUCAGGUGACACUCAUUGGAUUCUUAGGUUGAAAUUUUUGUUGGUACUCACCCACUCAUCAUGUCCUAACACUAAUGUAUUACCUGAUGUUUUGGCCUAGAAACUGGAUUGAUAAUAAUUCAGUAGUUGUCAUUACUAUACCUGCUAUUUUUUUGCUAAUGUUUAAUAUAGAAAAGGUUGUCGUAGGAGCUUCCAGAUUAUUGUGUUUAUGCCUUCUUUAUUAUAAUCUUGCACAUGGCGGCGUGAUCUUCGAUUGACUUCCAGGGUAAUACUGGAUUGGUCUUGAUUGGGUGUAGAGACCGCUUCACUCUCUCAAUUAGACACAAGGGGCAACACAGCUCUAUGGCAGUCGCAUCAGCAGCAAAAUUAAGUACCAUAUGUCUCUCUCUUUGAAACAAUACACUUUUAAUUCAUGAUGUAAGAUUUUAUGAUGUUUUAGUGUUCAGAUAGUGCUCAUGAAGCAGUCAAAUUAGAGGAAUUAAUCUUAAUUGCUUUAAAAGAUGAUCUAAUUAUUCAUUCCCCUAAUUAGCUCUACAAUGUAGUAAUUUAAUGCUGGAGCCAUUAAGAAAAAUUCAACCCAGUUAGUUGAUUCAUGUGCGUUUGAUCUCAAGUCGAGUGAUCCACUUUUUGUUUAUAUGAAGAUUCUAUGAAGUGCGCUUCAGCAAAUACUUACCAUCCCUACAAGUCGUGUCAACAACUCAUUCUGGAUAUUUGAGAUUGCCACUCUUCUGUAUGGAAAUGAAUCAGCCAUUUGAUUUCUCUGUGUUAGUGCAUAUGUAAAUACUAUCUGGUUUGUGCGAUUGUGUUCUUCUCAUAUCCUCUUUGCAAUAUGUCAGUCAUCUUUCUAAAUAUGUUUACAAAAAUAUUAUAUGCACAUACUACCUCUUCUAUCCAACCAUUUUAAAAUGUCUAUUCUAAGCUAUUACUAACAUGCAGCUAUCAGCAAAACGUACUUAUAUGCUUCAAUGAUAUCAGUUGGCAGUAUGGUUCACACUUUCGAGAGCCCACAUAAAAUUCAAUACUGUUACCGAUUGAACACCAAUUUUGUUAGCUAAAUAUUUUUAUAUAUUUCUUAGCUAGGGCAAAAAAGAAAAGUUUUGGUUACAUUUGUAGUUGUACCCCUAUGUUUCCAGCACUAGGUAAUCUAUUUUGAUUGACGUUGAGAUUCUCCACCUUGACGGAAAGAAGAGACCUCAGAGCGACACUAUAAUCAAACAUACACUUGCUCAUCAUGGAACUACUGCAAGGAAAACAAUGCUAGCCAUUACCUUACAGUCUUGGGCACUCUACAGAAUACCUACCCUGACAGGUUGAUGGCUGCGGCCUAAGAUGCCAAAGGUCUGAACUUCCAAUAGCAACACCAAAGAUUUCUUCAUACAUACACGGUCGACCGCCGGUAUUCUCCAUAUAAAACUUGGAUGUUAGUUCUUGCUCCAUGGGAUGAAAAGAUCAUAGAGGCACUAGGACUCUAGGAGCUGAGAAGAAUCCUCUUUUGCAUCAAUGGGUGUUUUAUCGGUUACUAAAGAAGAUCACGGUGGACCAAGUGAAGAGCACACCAUCCUCUCAUCCAACCAUGAAGAUGACGGCACUGAGGACUGACAACUCAAAGACGUGGGAACACCGACACCACCCAUCCUACUGUGGUACUUGUGCAUCCCUGCUUAGCUUUUCUCGCUAGAAAAGAGCUGUCAUGCAUACUAAAUAGAAUUUAGGAUCUAUGAUAUUUAUGCAAGACAUUUCAUGAACUAUGUAAGCAAGUUCCAGGUAUAGAUUAAUAAGACCGGCUAACCUCCAUUUUCUAAUUGAAUUUGCCCUCUAAGUGUCGCCACUCA
This is a long non-coding RNA of Lolium perenne, 4049 nucleotides long. RefSeq lists it as uncharacterized. The record is from RefSeq and is a predicted model, not a curated record. NCBI's taxonomy places the organism in Eukaryota, Viridiplantae, Streptophyta, Magnoliopsida, Poales, Poaceae.